CCCUCCCCACUGCUUGCAAGUGCUCUCUCUGUCUCUCUCUCAAAUAAGUAAAUAUUUUUUAAAAAAUUGAAACUAUAGAAGUACCAAGGGGAAAAAAAUGGCAGAAUUUCUCUGUGACGUGAGAGUAGAGAAGAUUUUCAUAACUACAGCCAAAAAUCCAGCUUUAACUGAAGAGAAAGAUUGAUCAACUUAACUACAUAAAAAUUUAAAAGCAGGGCACCUGGGUUUAAAUGGCUCAGUCAGUUAAGCAUCUGACU
Lutra lutra (Eurasian river otter) is the source of this 257-nucleotide long non-coding RNA. RefSeq lists it as uncharacterized. The record is from RefSeq and is a predicted model, not a curated record. The transcript has 3 exons. Lineage: Eukaryota; Metazoa; Chordata; Mammalia; Carnivora; Mustelidae.